Vitis vinifera (wine grape) is the source of this 857-nucleotide RNA transcript. RefSeq lists it as uncharacterized. The record is from RefSeq and is a predicted model, not a curated record. NCBI's taxonomy places the organism in Eukaryota, Viridiplantae, Streptophyta, Magnoliopsida, Vitales, Vitaceae. The transcript is spliced from 3 exons.
AUAGUGUUUGACGUUUGCAGUCUGGAGGUGUAUGGUUGGAUCCCUGAAACCGAACCCUCAGAAAGACGCAAUUUGUAGGAAAGUUUGAGGGAAUUUCGGUCGAGGUGUAAAGGUCGGAGAGAAUCUCCGGUCCGAGAAAUGAUAACCCGUUCUAAACUGGUGGAACAACUCAGAGACUAUCAGAUCCGAUCGCAGCACAAGUGCUCCGCUCUCGCUAUCUUCUCUCCCAAACCCCAUAUCACUUCCCGGGCUGAUGUUGCUGUGGCUAUCUUGUGGGCCUUAUUCUUUAGUGUGCUUCUUGUAUCAUCCUGUAUGACCUUUUACUUCAGAUAUUUCCAUCUUUCUUCCAUCACCGUCUGCCUUGUUAUUCUUCUUCUUAUUCGACUAAGAGCUUCUAAGAAGGCAUUUGCAAGGAAGAAAGAAAGAAGAUUGUUGUUACCUUUGUCCAUGUGAACAUCUAUAGCCAGUGGUGUAAAGGUAGCACAAUAGCUUGGUCAAUUUGUUCUGUUGCUCACUUCUAAGUUCUGAUACAUGUGGAUUUUAUUUAAACUUUAUAUGCUUGGAGUACUGAUCUUGAUCAACAAGAAUUCUCACCAUCCUCCUGAAAUAGAUGCUUCUGUGCAGGUACCAACUUCCUCUUCCCUGGUUAGUGUAAAGAUGUUAUCUGAAAUGAAAAGGCAGUAUUCAAAUGAAGUUACAGUUGUGUCCUGACUGAGCUUUGAAAAACAUACCAGAGAAGUUGUAUCAAGUUAAUCUGUUGCCCUUUGAGAAGUCAUUCUUCCCGUAAGGUUUGUUUCCAAACACACCAAAAGAACUGUUUCUUUCAAUGAAGCUAUGAAUUCAAUUUUGGUAGGAAA